AACCGGUGUGAUGGCCGUAGAGAUCUACAUGCACGUUUGGUUGGAGCGCGAAAAUGGGAUGUUAGCAUCAAGGACAGUUUUUUUAGAUGAUCAAAGGAAGGAGCUACGAGCAAUGGAGAGGAUAUAAAAUCUUGGAUAGAUAUUCGGUCGAGUUACGAGCCGUCACAAGUGACCUUCCCGAACCUAUUCAAGCUGGUGAAAAAUAAGUUAUGUUUGAUUAAAGAUAGCACACCAUGAAAUUAUUGUAAAAAAUGAGAUAAAAUGGAUGUGGUCUUAUGAUACAACAAUUUCUGAAUUCGGGGCAACGUACCAUUGUGUUGUAACUAGCAUGAGGGAUUCUUAACAAUGUUUUAUGGGUCGUGUGUCCUUUUCAUCA
Molecule: long non-coding RNA, 376 nt
Organism: Helianthus annuus (common sunflower)
Lineage: Eukaryota; Viridiplantae; Streptophyta; Magnoliopsida; Asterales; Asteraceae
Exons: 2
Source: RefSeq, a predicted model, not a curated record